GUGUCACAGAGCCACACUAAAUCCUAUCAUAAUACCAACAUUCCUAAGUUCAUUUGAAGUUUUUUCCCUCAGUAAAAUGAACCCUUGGUUUAUGGUUACUCAAUGAAUCAUAAUUUACAUUUAUAGGACAUAUAUGCUUGAAAGAAGAUCUUUUAAAAAGAUGUUUUUUCAAUAACAGCAAGAUCAUGUUAGUCAUAUUGGUUUUGAGGCAUCCCCAUAUGUGAAUUCAAGUAGGCUAUAUCGCAACUUUUUGGGCUAGAUUUGGGUCGCAAUAUAGGGUUAAAAAUUUUCAUGGGAAUAAAGAUUGGAAACAAAUCUUUUAAAAAUCACUACAGCAGGGUCAACAUGACUCGGGUGAGCAAUGCAACCCAUGAGCCUCUUGAUGGUAUUUGAGGCCACAAAAUCAAGACAAAGGUCAAAUCAAUAAUGAUAUUAGAAAUAUUGUUCAAUGUCUUUAGACCCCUUUGUUUGACAACAAAUGAUGAGUUGUAAUUAAUUUCGAAAUAUGUUAUAUAUUUUCUUCUUCUUCAAAAUAGGUGUUGUACUUCAGGAAAAGGGGAAGCGUAUUUGUUGGAAGAUGGAUAAAGAAAAAUUGGAGCAUGCACUAGACUUCUUUAAAUCCUGCUUUUUUAUCAGGUAACAUCAUUGAGUACAAAAGAAAUGUACCUUCACAGCAGACAACUUAUAACCUUUCGACACAAAAAUUGGGACUGCCUGCCAUUCAACCAUUGUACAUAUAUGAAUUUACCAGUCCUGUUGUGAAGAAACUUAUUUCAUCAUCUUUCAAGGGCCAUGUUAUUUAGGAUUUUAACUACUUGUCCUGCAUCACAAGCUUAAAAAGACUUCACAAUCUGGCUGCAGAUGGAACUGCAUGGUUUGAAAUCCUCAUAGGAAUUCUGAGAAGCAUGGAGGCCUAUUAACCAGAUAAUGAGAUUGUUAUGAGAUUGAUCACUGUUCGUUAUCUUCACCUUGGAUAAUGACAAGAUUUCAUAGCUUGAGGAGUACCAGGAAAAUUUACUUGCAGCAAAAUUGUACAUAAAUAGAGACUCACUCAAGCAUGAAUGUAGAAUAAUUAUAAAGAUACAGUAGAGAGAGAGAAAGAGAGAGAGAGAGAGAGAGAGAAUUAUAUGGUGAUAUAAUUAAACUCAUUGUCUUCAAUGGGUAUGUCAUGUCAGUAGAGAAUCAUGAUUCAUAUGGUGAUAUUUUUCAAUUAUAUACUCGUUUCAGUGCAAUGGCAUUGUACAAAUAAAUAUUUUAAGUGUUGUUAGGGAAAGUGGUUGCUAUGGUGAUAUGUGUAAACAUAUUGUCUUCCAUGGGUCCGACAUGUCAGUAAAUAAUUACAUGUUGAUAUAUUUGUAUUAUAUUCUCAUUUGAAGGCAAUUGGAAUUGUACAGUUUGAAAUGUUUGCUUGUUGCUAGGGAAAAUUGGUUGCUAUGGUGAUAUAGUUAAACCUGAUGUCUUAAUUGGAUUCAACAUAUCAGUAGAAAAUCAUAUAUUGGUAUAUUUGCAUUAGGUUCUCAUUCCAGUGCAAUUUAAUCAUACAACUUUAAAUUUUAUGUGCGUUGCUAAGGAAAAUCAGUUGCUACGGUGAUAUGGUUGAAGUCUGAUUUCUCUAAUUGGUCUGAAAUGUCAAUAAAUUAAAGUGAACCCAGAU
This is a long non-coding RNA of Ostrea edulis (European flat oyster), 1654 nucleotides long. RefSeq lists it as uncharacterized. The record is from RefSeq and is a predicted model, not a curated record. The transcript has 2 exons. Lineage: Eukaryota; Metazoa; Mollusca; Bivalvia; Ostreida; Ostreidae.